CGGAGCGUGGCGGAACCGGCAGGCGCGCGUGCCCCAGGAGCACGUGGCCCAUGGCCGUGCGGGUUCGAGUCCCGCAGCUCCGACCA
RNAcentral lists this transfer RNA (86 nucleotides) under Olsenella sp. DNF00959. RNAcentral's name for it is "tRNA-Leu". It matches the Rfam family "tRNA". From Rfam's summary of the family: Transfer RNA (tRNA) molecules are approximately 80 nucleotides in length. Their secondary structure includes four short double-helical elements and three loops (D, anti-codon, and T loops). Lineage: Bacteria; Bacillati; Actinomycetota; Coriobacteriia; Coriobacteriales; Atopobiaceae. The record is from RNAcentral.